CACACUAAACAAUCUCCCAAAAUGAUGAUGCAAAUUUCGAGAAAGAGGCAGAAGUGAAUCAACGUAAAGUAGCUGAAAUCCCAAACUUUAAACCAUAGGUUUAAUAUGAGCUUGGGUCCUUCAGUUCAGCCAAAAACUUAAGAUUUGAGAUCUACAAUAUUACAAUAGGGAAAGAUAUAAAUAUAUUGAUUUGCAAUUCUAAGAUCUCUCCAUGCAGCAGGUAAAUGUUGAUGGUCUGGUGCUUAACUGGAAGAAAACUUAAAAUACAUUUUUUUCUUAAAGCUCUCACUGGCAAUAUUCCACAUAAUAUGUGUCAUUGUAAAGACAUUGCAUAUUGGUUGGCUAUUUGUCAUUACUACAGAAGAUUGGGCAAAUUCUAUGGUAUCAAUUGUUUCCUAUUGACCACUGCAUAUUUUAUACAUCCUUCCAGAUACCCAUAGAGUCCAUGAUAAAAUAUUUGCCUGAAAGGUGGAUUUUAAAGGCCAGAGAGUUUUCUAUUCAAAUUCUUCAUGAGCACACAUUUCCCAAGAUUGUUCUCUUCACCUAUUAUUUCAUAUGGUCCACUCUAGGAUCUGAAAAAUUCCAGCAGAAUGACCCUCCUCAUCAAUUAUGGAUUGACCCACUCUGUAGUUCUCACCACUUUUGAGGCCCACUCUGACUUGUCUCCUAUUCCUAAAACAAGUUCAUCAGAUUGGGAGAGGAGAGAAAAGGAAAUAGAGUGGAGUUCCUCAAAAUACUUAGAACAGUGCCUGAAGGACAUCAUCAACAGCCUUUGGAAAACUCCUUCCCAGGACAGUAGACAUUUUUUGUUGUUGUUGCAUUCCACACAAUCACCUUGCUCAAAAGAGCUGGAAAUGGAAUAUAUUAGCUUAUCCAUGAGUAGAAGUCUCACUGAAUAAUUAUAUGCCUCUCUGUUAUAAUUCCAUGGGAAAGCAUUCUUCAAGACCUCUUGCUUUUUUCUGGGGUACCCAAAGACCAGGGCCUAUGAAAUCCUAAGGGAAGUUAUAUUUUUGAUCAUUUGUAUUUUUAGGACUGCACCUGCAGCAUAUGCAGGGUCCCAGGCAAGGGGUCCAAUCAGAGCUACAGCUGCCAGCAUACACCACAGCUACAGGAACUCCAGAGCUGAGCCUCAACUGCAAGCUACAUCAGAAUUCAUGGCAAGCAACUCUGGAUCCUAAACACACUGAGCAAGGCCAGGGAUCAAACCCACAAUCUCAUCUUUCCAGUUGGAUUCUUUUCCAUUGUGUAAUGAUAAGAAAUCUUUGAGGGAAUUUCUUAUUUCUCAUCUUAGGAAAAUAUACAUAUUCUGAAAUAUUGGCAAGGAAAGAUUGCAUAAAAAUUUAGCCAAAAAAGAGCUGAGAUUUUUUCUGUCAUCUGAAAUACAAAACAAUCCGCAGAGAGAAAAAAGGAAAGCAAUAAAGGAAAGAAAGAAAUGUAUAAAACAAUUAAGAAAUAAUUAAAACCAAGUAAAGAAGCAAAAAUUUAAUAUUCUGCUCAGAAAUAUCUGACUCUGAAGGUGCUAUCAUGGUUUUCAAAUAUUUGGAUGAUGGGGAAGAAAUUAGAGAAAACAAAAGUCUAUAGUCAGUUUGUAGAAUGUGAAAAUGGCAAUGAAAUUGAUGAAAAGUUAGCACAAAACUGUGCUCUGUUCAUAAGCAUAGGAGCCAGGAAGCAAUAAGUGUUAAGUAUCUGAGGAUUGUGCUGUGCCAACAAAGGCAAAACACCAUUAGAACAGUGUGUAUAUGGAGAGGCGGAUUCCACAUCAAGUUGCCCUUCUAAAUGUGCUUCUGAAAAGAACCCUGACAUCUCUCUCUCUCCUGAUAGAACACAACAAGGGACCAAGCCCAAUUCAGGCCAAGCACAUUAGUGAGAUUCCAAUCACACAGCUCUUGGUUACAUAUGCUUGUGACUCAGGAAGUUCCUGAAGGCAUGUUGGGCAGCCAAGAUACCUGUAAAUACAGCUGUGCAUCUCCUGUCAGGUGAAUGGUCUCAACCAAGAGGACAAUAAAAAUUAUUCCAAGAAGGCAGCAUAAGAUUCUGUGCUGAAUCAUAACUUCAAUGUCAUCUUUCAUAUCAUACAGUAAUGUGGUGUAUGUCUGCUCAUCUAGGUUACUUAUGAUCAGCUCUCCCAUACCUUAGGACAUAUAGGGCCACAGAACUUUUGGAUUGAGAUGCCCAGGAUCUCUCUCUGCAGAAGGAUGAUGGAGAAGGUCUUGUGACAAUUUUCUUUCCAUGAGACAACAUGGAAAUCCCUCUGGUUUAUGGUUCAUUCUGGUCAUGUUCCACCCCGCCCCCUGUGCAGCUCAAUAAGUGUUUGAGGAUACUUGUCAUUCCAACAACAUGAAUGUACAUAUGAUUCAGUUAUUAUUAACCAUAUUAAUUCAACAUAGUACAUGAUGCCCUUUUGAAUCUUAGAAUAAAUUGUAUAAAAAGAUAUAAAAUAAUGACUAGUGAGCAUUAUCCAAUUCCUUUCUAAAUUUCUUGUGUUCUCCUCUGUCUCCAAGCAGUCUACUCUCAGGGCCAAAGGUUUUUGAAGAAUCUUCCUCCUUGGUAACUAUACAAUCACCGACUUGAUCCUAUGUUUUAAAUUGCAGAUGAACAAACUCUCUAAUUUUUAAGAACUCAACUCUGGGAGUUCCCGUCAUGGCGUAAUGGUUAAUAAAUCCAACUAGGAACCAUGAGGUUUCAGGUUCGGUCCCUGGCCUUGCUCAGUGGGUUAAGGAUCUGGCGUUGCCGUGAGCUGUGCUGUAAGUCGCAGUCGCGGCUCAGAUCCCACGUUGGUGUGGCUCUGGCACAGGCCAGCAGCUACAUCUCCAAUUAGACCCCUAGCCUGGGAACCUCCAUAUUCCAUGGGAGCGGCUCAAGAAAAGGCAAAAAGACAAAACAAACAAACAAACAACAAAAAAACCUCAACUCUGGUGAUUAACGGAAUAAAAUUAUUAUGAACCAUUUUGAUGUAUUGCAAAAGUUUUGAAUUGGGAAUAAAAUAGAACAUCACAUUUUUAUUUUUAGAUUUGUAUUUUCCUGUGUGAAUAUACACAUCCAUUUUCCCCUGUAAGAAUUCUUCAAAGGAGGAGGUAAGGGGAAAGAUAUUUCAUUUCCAGUGGUCAGCAUUAUAGCACUGCUUAUAUCAAGGUGUCUUUCACCACUGCAAUUCAUAGCUACAAGUCUUUCUAAGAGUGUGUGGUGAAACAAAGGACUGUCCCUUUGCAAUCACUUUGUGUUUAAUGUAGUAUAUAUAUGGAUAGGCCCAUGCAUAUAAAGAUAAAAUAUAUUUUUUAAUAUAGAGAUAUUAGCAAUUUACUAUCCUCACAAAAUAUCUGUCAAAUCCAUUCCAGUAAAAAAAAAUUUUGAUAUUUCCUCCAAACAGUGC
RNAcentral lists this long non-coding RNA (3370 nucleotides) under Sus scrofa (pig). RNAcentral describes it as "lncRNA (ENSSSCG00000057265.1)". Lineage: Eukaryota; Metazoa; Chordata; Mammalia; Artiodactyla; Suidae. The record is from RNAcentral.